GGGCGUAUAGCUCAGCGGGAGAGCACUACGUUGACAUCGUAGGGGUCACAGGUUCAAUCCCUGUUACGCCCACCA
RNAcentral lists this transfer RNA (75 nucleotides) under Neorhizobium galegae. RNAcentral describes it as "tRNA-Val". It matches the Rfam family "tRNA". From Rfam's summary of the family: Transfer RNA (tRNA) molecules are approximately 80 nucleotides in length. RNAcentral also lists the same sequence under 67 other names. Lineage: Bacteria; Pseudomonadati; Pseudomonadota; Alphaproteobacteria; Hyphomicrobiales; Rhizobiaceae. The record is from RNAcentral.